AAAAAGGCCCCAUUCGGGGCCUUCAAACACAAUAAAAAACUAUAUA
Molecule: non-coding RNA, 46 nt
Organism: Zhouia amylolytica AD3
Lineage: Bacteria; Pseudomonadati; Bacteroidota; Flavobacteriia; Flavobacteriales; Flavobacteriaceae
Source: Rfam